This 274-nucleotide ribosomal RNA is filed under the name uncultured bacterium. RNAcentral describes it as "partial 16S ribosomal RNA". It matches the Rfam family "Bacterial small subunit ribosomal RNA", at positions 523 to 796 of the family's 1533-position model. The record is from RNAcentral.
AUACAGAGGGUGCGAGCGUUAAUCGGAAUUACUGGGCGUAAAGCGCGCGUAGGCGGCUUAUUAAGUCAGAUGUGAAAUCCCCGGGCUCAACCUGGGAACUGCAUCUGAUACUGGUAAGCUAGAGUUUUGGAGAGGGAAGUAGAAUUUCAGGUGUAGCGGUGAAAUGCAUAGAGAUCUGACGGAAUACCAGUGGCGAAGGCGACUUCCUGGCCAAAAACUGACGCUGAGGUGCGAAAGCGUGGGUAGCAAACGGGAUUAGAAACCCUAGUAGUCC